UACAUUUUAGUAUAUGUUGUAUAAAAGUUUUUGAUACUUUAGGGGACAGUUAAAUUCUGUCAAAUGUAA
RNAcentral lists this transfer RNA (69 nucleotides) under Tenebroides mauritanicus (cadelle beetle). Its description in RNAcentral is "tRNA-Gln". Lineage: Eukaryota; Metazoa; Arthropoda; Insecta; Coleoptera; Trogossitidae. The record is from RNAcentral.